This 595-nucleotide ribosomal RNA is filed under the name uncultured Bacteroidota bacterium. RNAcentral's name for it is "bacterial SSU rRNA". It matches the Rfam family "Bacterial small subunit ribosomal RNA", at positions 122 to 715 of the family's 1533-position model. Lineage: Bacteria; Pseudomonadati; Bacteroidota. The record is from RNAcentral.
CAACCUACCUAUCAGAGGGGAAUAACCCGGCGAAAGUCGGACUAAUACCGCAUAAAACAGGGGCACCGCAUGGUGAUAUUUGUUAAAGAAAUUCGCUGAUAGAUGGGCAUGCGUUCCAUUAGGUAGUUGGUGAGGUAACGGCUCACCAAGCCUACGAUGGAUAGGGGAACUGAGAGGUUGGUCCCCCACACUGGUACUGAGACACGGACCAGACUCCUACGGGAGGCAGCAGUGAGGAAUAUUGGUCAAUGGGCGGGAGCCUGAACCAGCCAAGUCGCGUGAAGGAAGAAGGAUCUAUGGUUCGUAAACUUCUUUUGCAGGGGAAUAAAGUGCAGGACGUGUCCUGUUUUGUAUGUACCCUGAGAAUAAGGAUCGGCUAACUCCGUGCCAGCAGCCGCGGUAAUACGGGGGAUCCGAGCGUUAUCCGGAUUUAUUGGGUUUAAAGGGUGCGUAGGUGGUUUGAUAAGUCAGCGGUGAAAGUUCGCAGCUUAACUGUAAAAAUGCCGUUGAAACUGUCGGACUUGAGUGUAAAUGAGGUAGGCGGAAUGCGUGGUGUAGCGGUGAAAUGCAUAGAUAUCACGAAGAACUCCGAUUG